This 350-nucleotide ribosomal RNA is filed under the name uncultured bacterium. Its description in RNAcentral is "bacterial SSU rRNA". It matches the Rfam family "Bacterial small subunit ribosomal RNA", at positions 917 to 1266 of the family's 1533-position model. The record is from RNAcentral.
GGGCCCGCACAAGCGGUGGAGUAUGUGGUUUAAUUCGAUGCAACGCGAAGAACCUUACCAGGGUUUGACAUCCUGCGAAUCUCUUGGAAACGAGAGAGUGCCUUCGGGAACGCAGUGACAGGUGGUGCAUGGCUGUCGUCAGCUCGUGUCGUGAGAUGUUGGGUUAAGUCCCGUAACGAGCGCAACCCUUAUCCUUAUUUGCCAGCACGUAAUGGUGGGAACUCUAAGGAGACUGCCGGUGACAAACCGGAGGAAGGAGAGGAUGAUGUCAAGUCAUCAUGGCCCUUACGGCCUGGGCUACACACGUGCUACAAUGGGCAGUACAGAGGGCCGCAAACCCGCGAGGGGAG